This is an RNA transcript of Pongo pygmaeus (Bornean orangutan), 3076 nucleotides long. It is a transcript of the gene named BRD3 opposite strand, with no coding region annotated. Lineage: Eukaryota; Metazoa; Chordata; Mammalia; Primates; Hominidae. The transcript is spliced from 4 exons. The record is from RefSeq and is a predicted model, not a curated record.
GCCUGCCCAGCAUCUGCGCUCGGCUCGCCAGGCCUGCGGCGCUGCCAUGGAGACACGGCCCAGCGGCCCCAGGCUCCGCCCCGGGAGCCCCGCCGCGCGUCGCCCCGCUGCGCGCAUCUCCGAGGCCCUCGACGAGCGGUGACUGGAGCCUCCCGGGAGCUGGAUGCUCGGAGCAGCAAGGCGGCCCUGGGGGCCCCUUCCGGUCCCGGGGCUGACGCCUGGCGGCGUCUCCGGGAACCCGCGCCGUUUCAAGCGCCGCUGGCUCCUGUUUCACAGAUGGAGACCCUGAAGCCUCAACAAGCAGCCUCCCCAGCACCACCCAGGGACUGAAAAAGCUGGCACUGGGCGCCCGUCUCACUCUCCACCCAGCUCCCAGGCUGCCCCACGGGACCAGCACCUUUGGGGAGAGACGAGACCUGAACAAACGCUGGGGCCGGAUCCCCAGGGUGGGUCAGAACAGCUGUUGCCCUGAAAGCUGGCCCGGACCGAUGCGUGCAGGGCGUGCCACCGGAGCUCCUUCCAGCUUGCGUCUGGGGCCACCAUGUCCCUUCCUCAGGGCGCUGGAUCCAUCUCUUCAAGCUCAGUGGUCCAGGCCAUGGUGGCAGAAUCACCCCCCAGGGUGUGACGCCUCGUCCCUGUCAAUUCCACACAGCUGCACCCGGAAUAGCUGUGGCCGGGCGCCGCUCUGACCUGUGUGCGGUCCCCUGAAUGGGUCUCAGGUGUCUUCAGAAUGGCAAGGCCGCCUCAUUUCCUCACCACACAACCCUCCUGAGGACGUUGCCUGCAAAUGGGCUGAAUUCCUAAUUUCUACCAUUCAGUUAAACGAGGGAUCCUUAAACCUCAAAGCUGGUUAAGCUGUCCGUUAAUUUAGUGCGCGUGGGCCGUCUCAGAACAGCAGGGUUCCCAGGAGUCCAGCGGGACAGGGGAGGGGAUGAGUGGCCGCGUCCCCCUGGCAGAGAAGGCCUUGUCUGAAGGUUACGCCCGCCUCCGGUACAGGGACACCUCCUUGCUCAUCUGGCAGCAGCAACAGCAGAAGUUGGAGUCGGUGCCACCUGGGACGUACCUGAGCAGGAGCCGAAGCAUGUGGUACUCACAGUAUGGAAAUGAGGCCAUCUUGGUCCGAGACAAAAACAAGCUCGAGGUCUCUAGGGACACAGGGCAGUCCAAGUUUUGCACAAUUAUGUAAUUCCGAUGUGAGCAUCUGAACCCAGGACCACACUUUGAGGAAAACAGACCUGGGUUUCAUUCAGUUGUCUUGUUGCUUUCCAAUCCUUGCUGGAAGAUUUUGAAUAAUGAAUGUGAAGAUCAAACUGUGGUGUUAAGAACCCAAGAAGUGCAGAAUUGGCCCCCGAGCCCCUCAGCACAGCCGCGGUGUGACUGGUGCACAGGACACUUCCCCUCUAGAGUACCCUCCGUGGUCAGCUGUUGCGACAUUCGAAUUCUCCAGCUGUGCAAGUUCAUUCGCAAACAUCCUAGAAGUGGAACUGCUGGGUCAAAGUGCAUUCCCUAAAUGUCCUGCCAGAGGCCUGGUCGGCAGCAGCCUCCUGCACAGCCCGAGUCCUUUCUGCGAGAUUCCUGGCUUGUUUGCAGCCUGCAGCUGGAAGACUUGAAGUCAGACUUCCAAGAUUGCCGCAUGGAGCUGCAGAGGGAGUGAGCAUGGGGCUGGAGGACCUGCCCCGCCGGCUGACACUCCCACAGCAAGGUGGGCCCGCCAAGGAAGCACUCCACAUCCGCUAGGUAGGGUUUGUCUACAUCUUUUCAGUUCUUCAGUUUAAGUCCUGCCCGGGAAGAAAGCAAACUCCAGAGGCAAAUCUGGAAUGCCUGUGUGCCACCUUCUCACCGCACCACAGACUCCUCUGAGGAUGGGUUGUGGCGGGGUUGGCCCCAAGCAUGGGAGGCAGCGCUGACACGCAGAAUGGGGUCUGAGGUCACGUUGCAGCGCUGGCAGGAUGUGUGCUCAAGGGCCAGUCUCUGCAGGGGUCAGGGCGUGUGGGCCACGCACAAGCCAGCUGGCACUAAGCCGCUUAGGCUGCAGGAAGACACCAUCUGCCUGGGACGGACAAGGCCCCAUGUCUGUCCUCAAGGAGGCUGGUCUGGAUGAGAAGGGUCAGUCUGGCCAAGAGUGGCACCGUGCCCCCGACCCCAUCUGGGGUCGGGUUGGACAGGUCCUCAGGCCUAGACGUGGGCCCAGCCAGACCUUCUCCCCUGGCAUGUCUCUUCCAGGCCUAGUUCCAGAGCUGUCAUUCUUCAGUGAGCCGCGCUGCACGCCAGCCUCUGCAGUCUGGCAGUUAAACCUCACUAUGAAAAUCUGCUUUUGGGAUUUUAUUUGCAUUUCCAUUAGACUGAGCACAUCACAGGAAGCCACUUCAGGAUAGACUGAGGUGCAGAGGGAGGGGACAAGUGGCCAGGUUGACUAGAAGAGCACAGAACCUGGCCGUCUCGAAGAGGGCAGCUUGUUCCAGGGAACCAAUGAACUGUCAGUAAAGGGGAUUGUAGCUUCCUAAUGAGACAAGAAAUGAUGCUCCCUUCAUCCUCCCAGGGCUCAGGACAAGAGCUACUUAAUGGUUUGGUUAUUAUUAUUUUUUAAGAGAUGUUGUCCAGGCUGGAGUGCAGUGAUGCAGUCAUGGCUUACUGCAGCCUCAAACUCCUGGCCUCAGGCCAUCCUCCUGCCUUGGCCUCCCAAAGUGCUGUGAUCACAGACACGAGCCACUGCAUCCUGCCUUUAAAUGGUUUUUUGGGGCCCCUUUUGGAUGCUCUGGGUGUUUUUGCCAAGAGUUACAGGAUGUCAAGUGUGGGGAGCUCAGCACCCUCACUGUGGACCAGUGAAGGCUGUUCCAGACCAGGUGCUUCCAGACAUUUCCAGGCUCCAGGAGAGAGGCUGGGAGCCCCCACAGAAAGCACAGCAAAAUGCAAAAAAAAAAACAGUCUUUUUUUUUUUUUUGCUUUUUAUUAUGAAAACAAAACAAAUGCCCCAGGAGAAGGGUCCAUGAUUACCAGAAACAUCAAAGAGUACUUUCUACCAUUUUUAUUCUGUUGUGUUGAGGCCAGCAUUGCAAUAAACAAGCUAAACUACUUA